RNAcentral lists this ribosomal RNA (301 nucleotides) under uncultured bacterium. Its description in RNAcentral is "partial 16S ribosomal RNA". It matches the Rfam family "Bacterial small subunit ribosomal RNA", at positions 509 to 807 of the family's 1533-position model. The record is from RNAcentral.
CAGUCGCUACGGUAAUACGAAGGGUGCAAGCGUUAAUCGGAAUUACUGGGCGUAAAGCGCGCGUAGGUGGUUUGGUAAGAUGGAUGUGAAAUCCCCGGGCUCAACCUGGGAACUGCAUCCAUAACUGCCUGACUAGAGUACGGUAGAGGGUGGUGGAAUUUCCUGUGUAGCGGUGAAAUGCGUAGAUAUAGGAAGGAACACCAGUGGCGAAGGCGACCACCUGGACUGAUACUGACACUGAGGUGCGAAAGCGUGGGGAGCAAAUAGGAUUAGAUACCCGCGUAGUCCCUGUCUCUUAUAC